UCUACCUCAUCCGUGGAGCUCAAACUCAGCUUCAACGUGGGACCAGUGGCACCAGGAUGAGAGCUGUGCGGUUUGUAGAAAUAACACCAGCAGAAUGACACUGGCUGCCAUGUUGAGAAGAUUCUACGUGAGCAAAUACAGACGCAGAGACUAAUCAAGAAGCUUUUGAAAGAAUCCAGGAGGAGUGCACACAUUUUUCCAGGCUGCCAAAGAAGUCCUUGGCACAGAGUUCAAGGACCCAAGGGAGUCUGAGAGGAAGAGGAACAGGUUGAAAGGCAGAUUGAAAUAAGAUCACAAAGAGCCUUGAAUGCCUAGCUAAGCUGUUUGCAUAUGGAUCUGUAGUCAACAGGCGGCCAACACCAAUGCCUUAUCUAGACGUCAAACUGCUCCAGCCCUUGUCUCAUCUUCCAAGUGUGAUGCCAAAGGCCCUAGAGCCAGGAAUUGCCCUUUUAUAGUCCCCAUAGUCUACCUAGACUGUUACUAGAUGCAUGACACAUAUUCAAUUCAACACAGGAUUCCAAAGAACUGAGACUCAGAGCCACAUUGAUGAAUCUGGCUCCUUAAUUUUGGGAUAUAAGUAUAAAUUCUUCCUAAACUUGUUUUCAUGGGUUUUUUUUGUAUUUAAUGAACCAGAGAAGUUUUGUUAAAGAGGGGAAGAAUCCUAAGGCUGCUAAAUUUUUAUUACUUUAUUCCAAGUAAUACAAUUAAAAAUUAAAAUGGCCUUCUAUCAAUUGCCAUAAUCAUUUUAUAAUAGAAUGAGAAUUUUAGCAUCCUCCCCCUCCUAAAGGACAGGCAUACUCUCAGAAAGAAAAACCAUCUUUUCCAAGAAAAGAAAAUUGAUAAUCUAACACUGUCAUUUUAAAGGAUAUGCUUUUUUAAAUUUUCAA
Molecule: long non-coding RNA, 887 nt
Organism: Lemur catta (Ring-tailed lemur)
Lineage: Eukaryota; Metazoa; Chordata; Mammalia; Primates; Lemuridae
Exons: 3
Source: RefSeq, a predicted model, not a curated record